RNAcentral lists this ribosomal RNA (539 nucleotides) under uncultured bacterium. RNAcentral describes it as "bacterial SSU rRNA". It matches the Rfam family "Bacterial small subunit ribosomal RNA", at positions 772 to 1304 of the family's 1533-position model. The record is from RNAcentral.
ACUCAAUAGAUACCCCGGUAGUCCUAGCCUUAAACGAUGAUGACUUGGUGUGUCGGGUUUUCAGUCCCGAUGUGCCGGAGCUAAACGCGUUAAGUCAUCCGCCUGGGGAGUACGGUCGCAAGACUGAGACUCAAAGGAAUUGACGGGGACCCGCACAAGCGGUGGAGCAUGUGGUUUAAUUCGACGCAACGCGAAGAACCUUACCUGGGCUAGAAUGCGAAGGACGGAAUUGCAAAACAGUUUCUUCUGGGGUAAAACCCAGACCUGAAGCAAGGUGCUGCAUGGCUGUCGUCAGCUCGUGUCGUGAGAUGUUGGGUUAAGUCCCGCAACGAGCGCAACCCUUACCGCUAGUUGCUACAGUUUGGCUGAGCACUCUAGUGGAACCGCUGGUGAUAAACUGGAGGAAGGUGGGGAUGACGUCAAGUCAUCAUGGCCUUUAUGUCCAGGGCUACACACGUGCUACAAUGGCUGGUACAAAGGGCAGCAAACCCGCGAGGGGGAGCCAAUCCCAGAAAACCGGCCUCAGUUCGGAUUGCAGU